UGUGCAGGCGGUUGUUUAAGUUCGGUGUGAAAUCUCCCGGCUCAACUGGGAGGGUGCGCCGAAUACUGAAUGACUAGAGUGCGGGAGAGGAAAGUGGAAUUCCUGGUGUAGCGGUGAAAUGCGUAGAUAUCAGGAGGAACACCGGUGGUGUAGGCGGCUUUCUGGACCGUAACUGACGCUGAGACACGAAAGCGUGGGUAGCAAACAGGAUUAGAUACCCUGGUAGUCCACGCCCUAAACGAUGCAUAUUUGGUGUGGGUCAUUCAGUUGAUCCGUGCCGGAGCUAACGCGUUAAAUAUGCCGCCUGGGGAGUACAGUCGCAAGGCUAGAA
RNAcentral lists this ribosomal RNA (331 nucleotides) under uncultured bacterium. Its description in RNAcentral is "bacterial SSU rRNA". It matches the Rfam family "Bacterial small subunit ribosomal RNA", at positions 568 to 899 of the family's 1533-position model. The record is from RNAcentral.